AUGCCCCUGGACUUCACCAAGCACUUCGUCGCGGUGCCGACGAAGUUCAAGCUCAGGAACAACACCGGCUGCUCCUGGAAGGUGACGGUCAAGCUGAUGAAUGGCUGGGUGACCCUGGAUCAGGGUUGGGCCACCUACGCAGCUGUUCAUCAGAUCAAGAUCGGCUACAUGGUGACGUUCAAGCUCCUCACUCCCGACACCCUCAAGGUCAUCAUCUUCGAUGACGAUGGCGAGGUCGUCAACAAGUGCGGGAAGCACAAUGAAGCCUUCGCUGUCGUGGUUCUAAGUCUGACCGUAGAGGAGGGGGUAGGUAUGGAGAGGCAAGAUCCCAGCUACGGUGAAGUUGUACACACGAGUUUACGAGUUCAGGCCCUUCUUGGAGGAAGUAAAAGCCCUACGUCACGGAGCCCGGAGGCGGUCGAUUGGUUUAUGCGUGUGAAUGUUACAGGGGGUGCGAACCCUUAUGCCAGUGGAGGGGGUGGCUUAUAUAGAGUGUGCCAGGACCCCAGCCAGCCCACGUUACAAGGGGUUCAAUGUACAUAA
This 543-nucleotide ribosomal RNA is filed under the name Triticum aestivum (bread wheat). RNAcentral's name for it is "partial small subunit ribosomal RNA". The record is from RNAcentral. Lineage: Eukaryota; Viridiplantae; Streptophyta; Magnoliopsida; Poales; Poaceae.